This 460-nucleotide ribosomal RNA is filed under the name uncultured bacterium. Its description in RNAcentral is "partial 16S ribosomal RNA". It matches the Rfam family "Bacterial small subunit ribosomal RNA", at positions 338 to 795 of the family's 1533-position model. The record is from RNAcentral.
CCUACGGGAGGCAGCAGUGAGGAAUAUUGGUCAAUGGGCGCGAGCCUGAACCCGCCAAGUAGCGUGAAGGAUGACUGCCCUACGGGUUGUAAACUUCUUUUAUAAAUGCAUAAAGUGAGGCACGUGUGCCUUUUUGUAUGUACUUUAUGAAUAAGGAUUGGCUACCUCCGUGCCAGCAGCCGCGGUAAUACGGAGGAUCCGAGCGUUAUCCGGAUUUAUUGGGUUUAAAGGGAGCGUAGAUGGGUUUUUAAGGCAGUUGUGAAAGUUUGCGGCUCAACCGUAAAAUUGCAAUUGAUACUGGCAGCCUUGAGUACAGUUGAGGUAGGCGGAAUUCGUGGUGUAGCGGUGAAAUGCUUAGAUAGCACGAAGAACUCCGAUUGCGAAGGCAGCCUACUAAACUGCCACUGACAUUGAUGCUCGAAAGUGUGGGUAUCAAACAGGAUGAGAUACCCCUGUAGUC